UCUUCUAAUACAAGGGAAAAAGGGCUUGAAAAUGACACUGCACCAAUACCCAAAGUGUAUGAAACGCAUGAUUGGCCUGCAAGGGACUGUGACAAAAAUUUUGUCUCAGGAACAGUGGCCUUAUUAAGUUCACCCUUGUCUAAGCAAAAUAUACAGAGCUUUUUCUGUUUUUUUCCAUCCCAUUCUCUCACUUACAUGAGCCACACCCACUUCUCUAAAUGGAGUGGUUGCAAUCCCUCCUCUCUCCAUUGAAGAAGCUAUGGUUUCGUUUGCAUUCAACUCCUAAAAAGAGAAGAGGGAUAUACAUUCUAUAUGAGGAUGUGAAAUCAUGCCCUUGUGAAGAUGUUCAAGUCCUAUGGUCAAUACUAGUGGAAUCCACUGCACCUUCCAUUCAAUCAAAACAAUGAAGAUUUAGUACAAGAUCACUGAAAUUAAUGGGAGAGGUCCAGUCAAUGUCAUGUACAUAAAAUAUUUAUGAUGUUUUAUUAUAUUCUCUGGUGAAAAAAAGGCAUUUUUUGUUUUCUACUUUUGCCUUUUAAGUUUCUUGUCAUCUCAGUUACAUACUAUAUUAAUUACAAAAUCAAUUUCCUUGUUUCAA
Molecule: long non-coding RNA, 598 nt
Organism: Manihot esculenta (cassava)
Lineage: Eukaryota; Viridiplantae; Streptophyta; Magnoliopsida; Malpighiales; Euphorbiaceae
Exons: 2
Source: RefSeq, a predicted model, not a curated record